This 76-nucleotide transfer RNA is filed under the name Hordeum vulgare. Its description in RNAcentral is "tRNA-Arg". The record is from RNAcentral. Lineage: Eukaryota; Viridiplantae; Streptophyta; Magnoliopsida; Poales; Poaceae.
GGGCCGGUAUAUCUUAGAGGAUUAGAGCACGUGGAAACGAACCACGAUGUCGGGGGUUCGAGUCCCUCCUCACCCA